ACGGAGGCGCUCAAAGGUUCUCUCAGUACGGUCGGAAAUCGUACGUAGAGUGUAAAGGCAAAAGAGAGCUUGAUUGCAAGACAUACAGGGCGAGCAAGGAUGAAAAUCGGACUUAGUGAUCCGGUGGGUCUGCGUGGAAGGGCCAUCGCUCAACGGAUAAAAGCUACCCUGGGGAUAACAGGCUUAUCUCCCCCAAGAGUCCACAUCGACGGGGAGG
Molecule: ribosomal RNA, 217 nt
Filed under: Clostridioides difficile
Lineage: Bacteria; Bacillati; Bacillota; Clostridia; Peptostreptococcales; Peptostreptococcaceae
Description: partial 23S ribosomal RNA
Rfam family: Bacterial large subunit ribosomal RNA
Source: RNAcentral